UACGGGGGGGGUAAGCGUUGUUCGGAAUUACUGGGCGUAAAGGGCGCGUAGGCGGCCUUCUAAGUCAGACGUGAAAUCCCCCGGCUUAACCUGGGAACUGCGUCUGAUACUGGGAGGCUUGAGUAUGGGAGAGGGAUGUAGAAUUCCAGGUGUAGCGGUGAAAUGCGUAGAUAUCUGGAGGAACACCGGUGGCGAAGGCGGCGUCCUGGACCAACACUGACACUGAUGAGCGAAAGCCAGGGGAGCAAACGGG
This 253-nucleotide ribosomal RNA is filed under the name uncultured bacterium. Its description in RNAcentral is "partial 16S ribosomal RNA". It matches the Rfam family "Bacterial small subunit ribosomal RNA", at positions 524 to 776 of the family's 1533-position model. The record is from RNAcentral.